RNAcentral lists this ribosomal RNA (492 nucleotides) under uncultured bacterium. RNAcentral describes it as "partial 16S ribosomal RNA". It matches the Rfam family "Bacterial small subunit ribosomal RNA", at positions 29 to 507 of the family's 1533-position model. The record is from RNAcentral.
AGUGAACGCUGGCGGUAGGCCUAACACAUGCAAGUCGAACGGCAGCACAGUAAGAGCUUGCUCUUACGGGUUGCGAGUGGCGGACGGGUGAGGAAUACAUCGGAAUCUACUUUUUCGUGGGGGAUAACGUAGGGAAACUUACGCUAAUACCGCAUACGACCUACGGGUGAAAGCAGGGGAUCUUCGCACCUUGCGCGAUUGAAUGAGCCGAUGUCGGAUUAGCUAGUUGGCGGGGUAAAGGCCCACCAAGGCGACGAUCCGUAGCUGGUCUGAGAGGAUGAUCAGCCACACUGGAACUGAGACACGGUCCAGACUCCUACGGGAGGCAGCAGUGGGGAAUAUUGGACAAUGGGCGCAAGCCUGAUCCAGCCAUACCGCGUGGGUGAAGAAGGCCUUCGGGUUGUAAAGCCCUUUUGUUGGGAAAGAAAAGCAGCAGGUUAAUACCCCGCUGUUCUGACGGUACCCAAAGAAUAAGCACCGGCUAACUUCGUG